UACGUAGGGUGCAAGCGUUGUCCGGAAUUAUUGGGCGUAAAGGGCUUGUAGGCGGUCUGUCGCGUCUGCUGUGAAAACUCGGGGCUUAACCCCGGGCCUGCAGUGGGUACGGGCAGACUAGAGUGCGGGAGGGGAGACUGGAAUUCCUGGUGUAGCGGUGAAAUGCGCAGAUAUCAGGAGGAACAUCGGUGGCGAAGGCGGGUCUCUGGGCCGUAACUGACGCUGAGGAGCGAAAGCAUGGGGAGCGAACAGG
Molecule: ribosomal RNA, 253 nt
Filed under: uncultured bacterium
Lineage: Bacteria
Description: partial 16S ribosomal RNA
Rfam family: Bacterial small subunit ribosomal RNA
Source: RNAcentral